This 462-nucleotide ribosomal RNA is filed under the name uncultured bacterium. Its description in RNAcentral is "partial 16S ribosomal RNA". It matches the Rfam family "Bacterial small subunit ribosomal RNA", at positions 28 to 507 of the family's 1533-position model. The record is from RNAcentral.
GACGAACGCUGGCGGCGUGCUUAACACAUGCAAGUCGAACGGAAAGGCCCUUCGGGGUACUCGAGUGGCGAACGGGUGAGUAACACGUGGGUGAUCUGCCCUGCACUUUGGGAUAAGCCUGGGAAACUGGGUCUAAUACCGAAUAGGACCACGCGCUUCAUGGUGUGUGGUGGAAAGCUUUUGCGGUGUGGGAUGGGCCCGCGGCCUAUCAGCUUGUUGGUGGGGUAAUGGCCUACCAAGGCGACGACGGGUAGCCGGCCUGAGAGGGUGACCGGCCACACUGGGACUGAGAUACGGCCCAGACUCCUACGGGAGGCAGCAGUGGGGAAUAUUGCACAAUGGGCGCAAGCCUGAUGCAGCGACGCCGCGUGAGGGAUGACGGCCUUCGGGUUGUAAACCUCUUUCACCAGGGACGAAGCGUAAGUGACGGUACCUGGAGAAGAAGCACCGGCCAUCUACGUG